AGAUAUUUUUAUUUGUAGGGAAAUUUCAACAAUUACUACACCCGAGGGAAAAAAAUAUCCUGCGCAAUGUUAUGCCCUAAUAACAACCUGCAUCUUACGUCUUUAUAUUUCAUAGUCUGUGCGUGUGUAUGGUAACAAUCAAAAAUUAAAUAAAUACAUAACGUUACCGGCACCAUCAACUACAAACUUGAAAACAUCUUAGAGUGAACUAGAGCAGAACAGCAAAAAGAGCAUAAUCUUCUGCAGUGAAAUGGCAAACAUUUCUGUUGUCCUACUUGACUGCCUUACUUGCCUUUCAUUGGGCCUGAACUGUACGUUUUAGCUCCUGCGUGUCUAAUAAUGCUAAACUCAUAGCCGUUGAGGAGCAAUGCUUUGCGUCACAGGAGGGCAAAGCUACAGAACAGACUACAGUCUGCUCCACCUUUGUCAGAAAUCCAGCCUCCAUCAUCAGGUUGCUAUGGAACAGCAGUGAAGAAAGCACUGACAGUAGCAGAAGAGCUCUAGGUUUUGUGAAGUACAGAACUCCCAUGCUGCCGAAGUAUGGUCCUCAUCAGAGAGAGAAGAUGUGACUGAUGCUCUGGACCUCAUACAAUUUUUUUUAAAGCCACAGUCGGAGCUCAGUUUGUGCCGUAACUGGGUCAUUUUUAGAGUUUUACACCCUCUACAAUCCCAAUCACAGGAGUAUUCAAACUGAGAUUUCGGAUUGGACUACUUUCUGCAGGGAUCACAAUUACUGUAUCAAGCUGAGAAACGGAAACACACCCCACUUCCUUUGUCCCCAUUCCUAACUGCAACCCCAGUGUUGCUUUUCAAAGACAGCGUCCAUUUCUGUGUCUCUGGAAGUUGUCAGCUGAGGCAGUGGAAGAGAUGGGGUCUGACGAUGCUGUGAUCAAGUCUCUACCUGCAGACUGAAAAGUUCCUCUACCCUGGAGCGCUGGAGCUGUACAGAGCAGAAUGCCUUUCUCGGCAAUAAUAACAGCGGUCUGCCCAGCCAAUGGCCAGCCUUGAUUUGAGAAGGAGUUAGUCAUGUGUGAAACACGUAGAUCCAAUAUUAAAAGUCUUGGGUACUGAUGGCAGCAAAAACGGUCUACAUAAAAUGUUGGGUAAGACAAAUCACAUUUUUAUUUACUACUUUGUUGAUGGUUUACUUAGAAAACGGUUUCAUCCAAUUCAUUGUUUUAGUUCUAGUAAUAAUAAAAUAAGUAAAUGCAGUUGUAAAAGUUACUCACAACAGCUGGAGAAUGAAUCCUACUGUUUUUUCCCAAGGUAGAUUCUAUCGAUAUCACUGCUUUCAGAAUGAUUGGUUACAGUGAUAGAUGCCACUGGUACCUGUCUUACAGCAGCUGCAUGCCCACCUCUGCACACACCUGCCCUUUCUCUGGUCUUCCAACAUUUUAUGUGCUUGUUUAAAGGCCAUUUUUGCUGCCAUCAGUACCUGCUGUUCAUAAAGCGGGCAAUUAAAGACCAAAGUACAUGACCCCCAGCAUAAACCACAUAAGAAAUAGUAAAGGGUUAUGGAAAGUGGCAACAAUUGAAAAACAUUAUUACCAUAUGGUAAAUACUAAAUAAACUAGUUAAAGGGAACACAUGUUAAAACAUUUUUGUGGGGCAUUUCCUAAAACAUGAAUCGGUGAUUUUGAUCUGUCUUACAUUCUGUGGAUAGUGCAGAAUCGCAGGUGGGUUGGUCUUCAGGGUCCGGCCAUGUAUUAAUAUUACUUGACAUGAAGAUUUGUGACCUUGAAGAAUUUGACGAGGCAGAAUCGUCUCUCUGCCCCAAUAUUCACCUGCUGCACCGUCUCCUGUCUGGCUAAUAUACAGUAUGCUGAUUUUUCAGGUAUAAAGGAAACAUGGAGGCAGUAUUAAAUAAUUGUAGUUAUGAGAUUUGUGAAAGAAAACUGGGAUCACGUUGAGAAAUGCUCUAUUUCACAAUUCCGUGCCAUCUACUACAUGGAAACUUUUCUUUGCAAUAGAAUCGUUUUAAAAUCCCCCUGACUGAGCCUGGCACAGUGUUGUGCCACUAACCAGAAAACUCAGUCAUAUCUUAAAUAUAUUCCUCCUCGCAAUUUCAUCAUGAAAUGUCCCAGAUCUGGAAACCAGGCAUGCUAUAUCUUGCAUGGUGAUUAACACAACAUUGUCUGUUUUUAUCCAGAGAAUUAUGUAACGUGAUUAAUCUCCCAAAGAGAUGUAUUGAUUAUACAGUGCCUACUGUAUCUGUAGUGUUUUCAUUCACAAUGUGUCCAGAAUACCAAGGGUACAUUGCAAAAACUUUGUCCCAUUGCAUUUAAGAGUCUUACCUGGUUUAUGUUAAACUACCAAGAAUUCUUAUCUUAAUUGAAAUUGAUCCCUGUACACAUGCAGUUUUCUUCAGCAAGUGUUGAGUGCUGAAAAGCAGUGCUGUCAAAUAAGAUAUACAGAGUCUCAGGAAAGAUGCCCGAAAGAAACUCUUUAUUCCGAAGUCUAUGAAGUUAAUUCUAUGAACUUGCACAGAUUCUGCAACAACAAAAAAAGAUGAUUCCACAAAACUUACAUCAUUUUUUCAUGUUUUUUAAUUAAUUGAAAACUGUAAUUUUGAAUGCUGAUGUCUUUCCAACCUUUUUUUGCUUUGUAUAAAAAGAUUAAAACAUUCUGAGAGCAUUUAUUCACUUAUAAACAUGAAGGUACUAAAACUGAUUUGUCUUUUAUUAGUAGUAUUCCUUCUCUUGACAUUUUGGGACACACACUUUUCGAGGAAAGCACCAAAGGUAUAUAUUCAUAAGUUAAGGUGAGAUAAUUAUUUUAAGUUUGCAUUCAUCACAGAUUAAUUCUAAAGUAAACAAAGACAUUUCAGAAUCCAUCUGUCAAAAUCAACUCUUGGUUAUUCUUUUUAGCAAUGGACAACAGGAUGUAAUCAUUGAUUUUAUUUUUUAUGUUUUCAUUUUCAAUUUCUUUUGUAAUUUGUCUUGUUCUAGAUUAAUUACGAGUAUUUUACCUCUUUUGUAAUAAUAAGGAAAAAAUGGAUUUUGCAAUGACAGUGCUACUAAAUGUUAUUAAACUGUUUUAUAGUAAAAUAAUAGCCAUCCCCUGUCUUGAUAUCUUUACACACUCGAGUCACAGCGCAUAAGGCAUAUAAACUGAAAAGUGACAGCAAGAGGAAUAAGGACCAUAGGGGAAACAUACUGCAGAAGUCCUAGCAUGACAUUGGAUUUAAAGCAACAAUUUAAAGAAGAUCACUCCUAAACAGCCAAAUUCAGGAGAAACACAUAUUCAAAUAAAAUGCAGAGAGUAAUCAACAAUACCUUGGCAACACAAAUUUCUUCAUUAAACCUUAACUCAUAAGGAUCACAGAGGCUGUACGGUUUCUAACAGCGAAAUAGAUCUCAAAACAUCUGAAGUCAUGUGUCCAGCAAAUCCUGUCUUAGGUCAUGACAUGUUAAAAGGAAUCUAGUGCAAUCACCGAUCAAGUCUGAAUCUCUUCUUUAGGCUGCAAAUGUCAUUCACAUGCCCUUAUCAGUUCUCCGUCCAACGGAUUCAGAAUAGAUAGCUGGGCUGGAAAAGUGAUAAGGAGAUGUGAACAACUGUGGAUGCCAGCAGGUUGUCAUUAAAAAAGCAAAACCCAUCAUACUCCAACCUGCACAGGAGUGGUCAGUAGACACCUCCUCAUGGGUCUGUCAAGGGCAGCGGCAGGCAGAUUCAUGAGAGAGAGAGACAAAGAACAAAUUCAGCCUAAUUAGACAAGUCAUCCAGGGUAGCGAUCUUCUUGAGCUGACUCCAAAUAUAAACAAGAAAACAGCACGACAA
Molecule: long non-coding RNA, 3777 nt
Organism: Lepisosteus oculatus (spotted gar)
Lineage: Eukaryota; Metazoa; Chordata; Actinopteri; Semionotiformes; Lepisosteidae
Source: RefSeq, a predicted model, not a curated record